ACUUAAAUAGCUUAUAAGUUAGAGCAUAAUAUUGAAGAUAUUAGGGAGAUUAUUUUAUCUUUAAGUA
Molecule: transfer RNA, 67 nt
Filed under: Neope goschkevitschii
Lineage: Eukaryota; Metazoa; Arthropoda; Insecta; Lepidoptera; Nymphalidae
Description: tRNA-PHE
Source: RNAcentral